RNAcentral lists this unclassified non-coding RNA (1300 nucleotides) under Bombus terrestris (buff-tailed bumblebee). RNAcentral's name for it is "misc RNA ENSBTSG00005019884.1". Lineage: Eukaryota; Metazoa; Arthropoda; Insecta; Hymenoptera; Apidae. The record is from RNAcentral.
AUUUUUCUCCUUUUAUUUUUUCGCUGCCUUGAUUCCGGGGAAUUUUUGUUCGUCCGGCCAGUGACAACGCGGUAGCGACGCCAAUCGCCUCUCCCGCGGGAGCAACGGUGGAAAGCACUAGGAGAUAUACGGACAACGUCCACGUAAAUAUCGGUGGACGCGCGAUAUUUACGGUAUCCAGGAAUGUGCAGUGUACGCGGUCAGUGUGGUCUGUGUUCGUGCAAUGACCAAGUUUCUAGACACGUGUGUUCGACGAACGAAACGUUCCUGGCCAUUAUCCGUGCUACGAAAGAUGCACACUGUAUAGUACAGUGUGCGACGGUAUACAUAGAUUCAGGGAAAAGGAAUCUCCAGGGAGCUCGAUGAAUCAAAGCAGUAGUCCAAAUUUAGGGUCAUAAUCUCACCCUACUCGUGUAAGUCUCUCUAGAAAGUAUCAAGUCCAACAUAUGAAAUAUCUGUUUUCUUUGGACGAAAUAGGUAUGCUUUUGCUUUUCACCGGGAUAAAUAUUGACAUACUUUUGUUAUCGAGAUAUAAUAUUUCCAAUACUACUUCUGAAAAAAUAUUAUUGUUCUAGAUUUUAUAAAAUCUUCGUGGAUUUGCCUCGUUCUUUACCUCCAGAGCUGCUGGUAUCUCUAGAAGAAAAUUACAAAAUCCAACGAAGAAUAAUAUAUUCCUUAGCAAUGUAUUAUACACUACAAUAAAACAAUUUAUGUAUUCAAGAACUAUAUUAAUAUCAUCUACGCAGAAUGACUUUUAAAAUAGAUAUGUAACUAAAAUUUUAUAGGUAUAUAUUCAUUCGAAGUAGAAUAUUCAGGAAGAAUAUGUAAUUCUCGUUGCAGAUAGAAUAUCGAAGACUUUGCAGCGCUAUAAUAUAUAAACGAUACAGGGAAUGGAAAAACAUAAAUCAACCUUUACUUCUACAUAAACCAUACUGCAGGCAAUCUACGCAAAGGAUAUGAAGCGUUCAAACGGGCAUUUCAUACGUUACAGCCUAAUAUAACCGGGGUUUGUUUUUGACCGGAAAGAAAUAGUUCCCUGUCAUAUAUCCUAACGUUCUACGCGAGCACAUAUUGCAAAAAUUAUAAAACCUUUCUAUCUCAUCGCAUGGAGCCGUAAAUUUUCGAAAUAGCCACGAUCGAAAAAGGGUUUGCAUCAACGGUUAAUCGAUAUUCUUUUAUCUACGACGUUCAUCGGACUGGUUCCUUUCGGGGCUGACAGAACGAAACCGCACCUACGCAUCACACUAUAUAUCUUCAUAGAAAAAUCCGGCCAGGAAUGCUUCGAAUCCAAGUCGAUAUU